RNAcentral lists this ribosomal RNA (451 nucleotides) under uncultured bacterium. RNAcentral's name for it is "bacterial SSU rRNA". It matches the Rfam family "Bacterial small subunit ribosomal RNA", at positions 355 to 825 of the family's 1533-position model. The record is from RNAcentral.
UCAAGAAACUUCCACAAUGGGCGAAAGCCUGAUGGAGCGACGUCGCGUGAUGGACGAAGUGCUUCGGCACGUAAACAUCUUUUAUGUGGGAUGAAAUUAUUGACAGUACCACAUGAAUAAGGGGCUCCUAACUCUGUGCCAGCAGGAGCGGUAAUACAGAGGCCCCAAGCGUUAUCCGGAAUCACUGGGCGUAAAGGGUGUCGAGGCGGUUCGUAUUAGUCGUUCGUAAAAUCUACGAGCUUAACUUGUAGGCGGCGAACGAAACGGUACGACUUGAGGUUUGGAGAGGUGCGUGGAACUCACGGUGUAGGGGUGAAAUCCGUUGAUAUCGUGGGGAACACCAAAGGCGAAGGCAGCGCACUGGCCAAAAUCUGACGCUCACACACGAAAGCUAGGGUAGCGAAGAGGAUUAGAUACCCCCGUAGUCCCUGAGCGGGCUGGCAAGGCGCAU